Molecule: ribosomal RNA, 497 nt
Filed under: uncultured bacterium
Lineage: Bacteria
Description: partial 16S ribosomal RNA
Rfam family: Bacterial small subunit ribosomal RNA
Source: RNAcentral
AAUGAACGCUGGCGGCAUGCCUAACACAUGCAAGUCGAGCGAACAGACGAGAAGCUCUCUCCCCUGACGUUAGCGGCGGACGGACGAGUAACACAUGCAUCACCUUCUUCUAUGUCUUGGGUAACUUCGGGAAACCGCUGACGCUACCGCCUAAUACAUCCUACGGCAUAGAUCAAUAGUGAUUGACGCUUUUCCCGUCUGUUUUAGACGAUUCCGCGCCGGAUUAGCUAGUUGGUAAGGUAACGGCUAACCAAGGCGACGAUGCGUAGCCGAUCUGAGAGGGUGAUCAGCCACACUGGAACUGAGACACGGUCCAGACUCCUACGGGAGGCAGCAGUAGGGAAUCUUGCGCAAUGGGCGCAAGCCUGACGGAGCAACGCCGCGUGAGUGAUGAAGGUCUUCGGGUCGUAAAGCUCUGUUGUUGGGGAAGAAAAGCUGUGUAAUUAACUAUGCACGUCUUGACGGUACCUAAACAAAAAGCCACGGCUAACUACGUG